Molecule: ribosomal RNA, 165 nt
Filed under: Pleosporales sp.
Lineage: Eukaryota; Fungi; Ascomycota; Dothideomycetes; Pleosporales
Description: partial large subunit ribosomal RNA
Rfam family: Eukaryotic large subunit ribosomal RNA
Source: RNAcentral
CGGCAAGAGCUCAAAUUUGAAAUCUGGCUCCUUUGGGGCCCGAGUUGUAAUUUGUAGAGGGUGCUUUGGCGUUGGCUAUGGCCCAAGUUCCUUGGAACGGGAUGUCAUAGAGGGUGAGAACCCCGUACAUGGCCGCUGGCCUUCGCCGUGUAAAGCCCCUUCGAC